This 1991-nucleotide long non-coding RNA is filed under the name Homo sapiens (human). RNAcentral's name for it is "uncharacterized LOC105369308, transcript variant 1 (LOC105369308)". Lineage: Eukaryota; Metazoa; Chordata; Mammalia; Primates; Hominidae. The record is from RNAcentral.
AGUCACAGGCGCGCCUCCGCGUCGCUGCCUCCAGGGACUCUCCCGGGAGAGACCCGCGCGCUCCCGGGUUCGGGGAAGUCGCGAUAGACGCCAGCUCGAAUGCCGCCUCCCGUCUGCUCCUGGUUGGGAUCCUGUCUUCAAGUGCAACAGCCAAGCCAGCUGCCCACUCCUCUGUGUCCUCUUAGAUUGUGCUCUGGGUGUGUGUCUUCUCUGCUGGAUUAAGGAGCUCACUGGAGUGGAGGUGACUGCAGUCAGCAAAACACUCAGGAAAUGAUUGCUGGAGAAGAGUGGGGAAGGGACCCCACAUCUCCCCUCUGCCUGCCCUCCCUUCUGCCUGCACCUUGCGGCCUCUCUUGCAGUGAGAUGUGGCCGUGGGACUAGAUUCCUGCCCAUGGGAAUGUAAGGAAGUGCCGUUUCUGGAUAUGGGACUCAUGUCUCUGUGUAGGACUCAUCUCCUCCAUACUCUUUCCCCUUCCCCUGGCUGGAAGCAGGGGAAGGCAAGUGAAUUCAGUCACGUAGACAACAAGAAAGCCAUGGGGAUGGGGGAGCUACACGGGAAAGGGACUUGGGUUUCUGAGUGACUGUGUGGAGCUGAGCAGCCCUCACUACUUGGAACUCCCUGUAAGACAGAAAGAAACUUCUCUGGUCUAAAGCCACAAGGACUUAGCUUUACCCCAAGAACAGAGCACACCCAGUGGAGCACUACGUCUAAGAAGUGUGAGCACCCACAGCAUGGAGUGUGCCAGAUUGGACAACAGACAUUUCCUAAGAUUGAGUGACUUUAGGAGAGCAGGGAGUGCCUGGCUCAGGCAAGGUGGCACCUUUGGGGGUCCCAGGUGGCAGACAGAGCUUCGCCCAGGUCGAACUGUGCAUGGGCCCAGGGUGCUGGCCAGAGGUGGGGCGGCUGGAGUUCACAGGCCAGGCAGCCAAGGGGUUGGUCUGGCAAGUGGUCUGCCACCAUGGACCCAGGCCUCAGACCAAACAGGCUGCUAAAGACACGGGUCCUCAAAUCAUCUGCAGGCAGGGUCUGGCCUGGGCCCCAGGAGUCCACAGGCAGGGAGCACCCUGGGGAAGAGCUGAGGAUGCUGCAUCAGAAAAGAGGAGGACUCAGCUUUAAGAAACAGUGAAGCCUUUGAAGAAGGAAGUCUCCCAUUUAUCCUACUCUAGGAAGGACCUUUACAUGCUCCAUGCAUUCAAUGUUUACAAUAACAAAAGUGGCUCUGAUGUUUCCUGUUGUGCAAGAGAAGGUGAAGUCAAGAGAUAUUCGGUGACUUGCCCCAGUCCUCCUUCCCAGGAAGUGGCCAAGGGGUCUUUACAGGUUGAUGUAAGAUUGGCCCUGUGCAGUUCCCAGGAGGUCUGGGGUAAGAGUGGAUGGGCCAAGGCCCUGCGGGGCCACAUUCUCCUGAUGGGACUCGUGUGGCCAGACUCUGCUCCUGUCACUUGGAGACUGUGUAGUGGCCAUCUCCACUCAUCCUGGGACUGGUGCUAUGAAGUUGCCACCAAGAAGGAUGUUUCCCUUUUCUUCCUCCCCACACCCACUUCCCCACAGGGUGUGGUGGCAGCAGGUGCCUCUUCUGCAUGGCCAGGGUCCCCCAUCGCUCACAGCUGUCAGUGUGCACAUGCUCAGACCUGCACCAUUCCUGUCCAGCCCCUGCAGUUACCACCUGGAAUCUUCAGCCAGGACUUGGAGGCUGUGAGGUCAGUCGGGAAGUGGAUCAGGAGGCCACCCCCUUCUGUGGCACUUCUGAGAUGACAACUUGUUUCACAGUUGGAUGGGGGUGGGGAAGGAAAGAGCGGCCCCAUUAUUCCAGAACAUUUUAUCCACACAGGCUCAGACACCCUGUGAUGAAGAGUCCAAGAACAGCCUGAGAUAAGGAUGUCAUUCUUCUUUCACAGGCCCCACGAUGGGUUUAUCUUUUGGGACCAAGACAUUGGGUCCCUACAUGUUUUCCCCUACCCUUCUUAGGAAAUAAAAUAUCAAACAACCCACA